Molecule: long non-coding RNA, 373 nt
Filed under: Brassica napus (rape)
Lineage: Eukaryota; Viridiplantae; Streptophyta; Magnoliopsida; Brassicales; Brassicaceae
Description: long non-coding RNA (BNAP_LNC009120)
Source: RNAcentral
GUAAGGAGAAGAGACUGAUUUGGUUAUUUAUAGCGGAAGAUGGAAAAUUAAUUACAAAGAGGAUUAAAGAGCUCGCACGUUCGAGAGGGAGAAAGAGAUGAUGACACGUGUGUGGUUUAUGAAGCGCCACAUUUGUAUAGGAGAAGACUGAAGUCGUGGCUUAUUCACGGUCGAGAGACUCGCGAUCGGUCCGUGCAGGCUCGUCGUGGUUCUCUUGGAGCAUGAUUUUUAGAGUUUUUAAGGUGGGGUUUUUAACGGAAUAUAAAAAUCCGUCUCUUAAUUUUUAAUUAAAAAGAUUAAGAAUCAGUUCUUAAAACUCUUAUUUAAUAGUAUGUUCUUACCUUCUUUAGUUAAAAGUUAAAAAACGAAUUCU